Molecule: long non-coding RNA, 990 nt
Filed under: Sarcophilus harrisii (Tasmanian devil)
Lineage: Eukaryota; Metazoa; Chordata; Mammalia; Dasyuromorphia; Dasyuridae
Description: lncRNA (ENSSHAG00000021116.1)
Source: RNAcentral
CACUGACAAGUAGCUGUUUGCACUGCGAUAAGCCAGAAUGAGUUAGUAAGCGUGAUCAUUUCACUUUUUAGAAAUUAUAGUGAACGUUUCUAAAGUAUAACCAACAAAUAUUCCUCAUUCAAUUAUUUAGAUCCAGUUGGCUUGCCGAGCAGGGGAAUUUUAAUGCUGGAAACUUAAUCCCUUCCAACAAAAACCGAAACCGAAGCAGGUGAAAUUCUUAUCCUGCAGCUAUUUCUGAGCACAGAGCUGCCAAGGCAGCUGAGGAUCUGGAUGCUUUCCCCACGUUGCCCGGGGACUGCUGGGGCAGGGAGUAAAUCAGGCAGCUGGGCCCAGCGCUUGUAAUCCCACCCAGCCUGAAGUUGGAGCCUGAAGAAGGGUCUGGACUAGUGGGGGAGGAUGUUGGGCAAUAAUGGGAUUGGGAGAGUGGGGAGAAUGGGGUAUACCUUGUCUCAUUGGUCGCCCUGAUGGCCUGUCACAUGUGUGCCCCACUUUGGAGCUCCCUGUUCCAGACAAUAGUGACUCUUGUUGGCGAUUUCCUGUCCCACCUUUAUUGUGACUCCAACAGAAAAUAAGGGACCCAUAGGCCACCACAACACCAGGCCCGGGCCUGGUCAGAGAAGAGCAUGGGUGCCGGUCAGUGCGGCGUCCCUCACAGAGAGCCUGGCUCCCUGCGACAAGCCCACAGUUAUCCCCAUUGCUGCGCCUGAGUCAGUGUGGAGACAAGCUCGGGCUAACAGGAAGCUUGGGCUGGGGCAGGAGCCCCCAGGGUGGCCCAUCCCCCACUGUCCCAGGUGGUCCCGUUCAGAGCUUUAAACCAGUCCUUGGAGGCGCGUGAUGUUUGCAAGAACGCCCCCCCAGUUUGCCUUUAAGGGGACGUCCUCCAGUGUGACCCCCAAGCUCCUUUAAGGGAGCUCUCGUUCUCUGCACCCCAGGCUUGCACAGGCCAUGGCACACAGCAGGAUCUUAAUAAAUGCCGAAGUGAAAAAAACC